UGCUACGCAGAAAAACAAAUACCACAACUAGCGAUUGAACCCAAAGAAUUAAGGAAAACACAACGGGGUAAGAGACAAGAAAAAAAAUCCGAUAUGGGCAAACACAAAUUUAAUGCGUACUGCGUUCUUCUUUUUGUUUUCGACAGAUCGUUUUGAUUGUUCUCUGUUUUGUUUUUUUUUUUUUUUUUUGUAUGAUAGAUAGCGUAACCCUUACGAAACCCGGAAACUGAUACCAGAUGAUAUGAACUUGGCCGGUGAUUAUGGAGUUUCACCGGAAAACACAACAAUAACGUAAAAGAUAUGGGAAAUACCGAUCUAUUUGAUUUGUACGCGGAAG
RNAcentral lists this long non-coding RNA (337 nucleotides) under Salvia miltiorrhiza (redroot sage). Its description in RNAcentral is "long non-coding RNA (SMIL_LNC014228)". The record is from RNAcentral. Lineage: Eukaryota; Viridiplantae; Streptophyta; Magnoliopsida; Lamiales; Lamiaceae.